CCUACGGGUGGCUGCAGUGGGGAAUAUUGCACAAUGGGCGCAAGCCUGAUGCAGCCAUGCCGCGUGUGUGAAGAAGGCCUUCGGGUUGUAAAGCACUUUCAGCGGGGAGGACGGCGGUGAGGUUAAUAACCUCAUCGAUUGACGUUACCCGCAGAAGAAGCACCGGCUAACUCCGUGCCAGCAGCCGCGGUAAUACGUAGGGUGCAAGCGUUAAUCGGAAUUACUGGGCGUAAAGCGCACGCAGGCGGUCUGUCAAGUCGGAUGUGAAAUCCCCGGGCUCAACCUGGGAACUGCAUUCGAAACUGGCAGGCUAGAGUCUUGUAGAGGGGGGUAGAAUUCCAGGUGUAGCGGUGAAAUGCGUAGAGAUCUGGAGGAAUACCGGUGGCGAAGGCGGCCCCCUGGACAAAGACUGACGCUCAGGUGCGAAAGCGUGGGGAGCAAACAGGAUUAGAUACCCGAGUAGUC
RNAcentral lists this ribosomal RNA (465 nucleotides) under uncultured Klebsiella sp. Its description in RNAcentral is "bacterial SSU rRNA". It matches the Rfam family "Bacterial small subunit ribosomal RNA", at positions 338 to 795 of the family's 1533-position model. Lineage: Bacteria; Pseudomonadati; Pseudomonadota; Gammaproteobacteria; Enterobacterales; Enterobacteriaceae. The record is from RNAcentral.